This 374-nucleotide long non-coding RNA is filed under the name Marmota monax (woodchuck). Lineage: Eukaryota; Metazoa; Chordata; Mammalia; Rodentia; Sciuridae. The record is from RNAcentral.
ACAGUUCAGUAAUUGUCCACUUGUGCAAUGAAUGUUCAGAAGUCUUUUCAUCUUUUUUUUUAGAAAGAGAGAGAAAGAGAGAGAGAGAAUUUUUUUUAAUAUUUAUUUUUUAGUUCUCGGGGAACACAACAUCUUUGUUUGUAUGUGGUGCUGAGGAUCGAACCCGGGCCGCACACAUGCCAGGCGAACACGCUACCGCUUGAGCCACAUCCCCAGCCCAAGUCUUUUCAUCUUACAAGAUAGGGAAAACUCUAUGUCCUUUAUUAACAACUUAUUUUCCAUUACACCCAGCCCCUGAUAGUCAGCACUCUGAACUUCAUUAGUACUCUCUCUAAGGAAAAUUGUUUUGAAUCUUAUUAUUUUGUGCCUCAUUU